CCUACGGGUGGCUGCAGUGGGGAAUAUUGCACAAUGGUGGAAACACUGAUGCAGCGACGCCGCGUGAGCGAAGAAGUAUUUCGGUAUGUAAAGCUCCAUCAGCAGGGAAGAAAAUGACGGUACCUGAGUAAGUAGCUCCGGCUAAAUACGUGCCAGCAGCCGCGGUAAUACGGAUGGAGCAAGCGUUAUCCGGAAUGACUGGGCGUAAGGGGAGUGUAGGCGGCAUAUUAAGUUAUGUGUGAAAGCCCGCGGCUCAACCGCGGAAUUGCACAUAAAACUGGUUAGCUGGAGUGCAGGAGAGGUAAGUGGAAUUCCCGGUGUAGCGGUGGAAUGCGUAGAUAUCGGGAGGAACACCAGAGGCGAAGGCGACUUACUGGACUGUAACUGACGCUGAGGCUCGAAGGCGUGGGGAGCGAACAGGAUUAGAUACCCCUGUAGUC
RNAcentral lists this ribosomal RNA (440 nucleotides) under uncultured bacterium. Its description in RNAcentral is "partial 16S ribosomal RNA". It matches the Rfam family "Bacterial small subunit ribosomal RNA", at positions 338 to 795 of the family's 1533-position model. The record is from RNAcentral.